UUUAAUUGUUAAAAGUGGGCUCGAUUUAUUUUCAACUGAGAUUACUCUAGUUAGAAGAGCUGUUGGAGUAAUUCAGGGAAAUAAUAGACAAUAUAGAAUAAGAGAAUUUAAGAACAAGUGUAUGCAAUAUAACCUUACACCUAGAUUCAUGUCCAACGAAGUAGUUACUAGAUGGAAUUAUACGUAUAUAUUUUUAAAAUGUUGCUACAAAUAUAGAUUUCCAAUUACAGAAGUUGCUAAUGCACAUUGUACUUANN
RNAcentral lists this long non-coding RNA (257 nucleotides) under Nicotiana benthamiana. RNAcentral describes it as "long non-coding RNA (NBEN_LNC022325)". Lineage: Eukaryota; Viridiplantae; Streptophyta; Magnoliopsida; Solanales; Solanaceae. The record is from RNAcentral.